Long non-coding RNA from Lolium rigidum, 2649 nucleotides. RefSeq lists it as uncharacterized. Lineage: Eukaryota; Viridiplantae; Streptophyta; Magnoliopsida; Poales; Poaceae. The transcript has 3 exons. The record is from RefSeq and is a predicted model, not a curated record.
GCCAUACGGCCACGUCGGUAUCCAGCGACGAUGGGAUGGCCGCUGAGCAGCCCAGGGCCUCUCCGUUCUGGGCUCGGUGUCCGGCCAGGCUCCACCUCCUCCUCCCCUACCUUUUCCUCUACUAUCUCUGUUUUGUGCUUGUCAUAUGUUUGAUGGAAUGAACAACCCCCAUGAUUCAGUCAUUCAAGUUGGUUCAUACAGAUUGGUAGUGGUUCACUUACGGAUCAACUUAUUAGAUUAUGUAUUUCGUUUUUAUUAUUGCUGACAUGUAUCAGGAAAGAUUCCAUUUGAUACAUAUAUACAAGUUGUUUGUACCAUGUUUUUUUUCUUAUAUGAAUUCGACUUGUUCACAUUCACAACCUGACCUUGGCCUGAUUUCACUAUGUCCAUACUUCUCGUUAGCUCUAGGAGUGGAGAAUGGAGGCAAGGCCUUCAAGACAAUGGCAACAGGGUUGAUGGAGAAGGAGAACAGGACCUGGUUUGUCAUUUCUGUGGCAUAUUACUCCUAUUCUGCUGAAUAGGCAAUCUUAUAAAUUUGUGCAUCUCUGAUUCUUUGAAUGUCUUGCUUGAAGUGUGAAGUUUCCAACUAUAAUUAAUUCGAUAACCUUCACAAACGAGUGCAACUUCAUAGUAAGAUACAGUAUUGCACUUUUGUGCGAUUUCAUGUGCAUCCUUGUGAAUAAAAUCAAAUGGUGGCAAUAUUGUUGAUGUACAAAGAUGUUCGAUCAAGUCCCUUGUGAUUGAUAAAGCUGAAUUAUUAUUGCCACUGAUAUAGUAAUGUAUUUACCCAUAUUCUCGACAUUUGCUUAUUUUUUUGGGUAGCUGCCAAUCGUUCACCAGCUCAAUAAGUUGGGGGUGCAUACCAAGCUGCUCCCCAAAAUAGUCCCUGAUCAACCUAUUUUGUGAUAAACUGACAGGGCAGACAUUUUCUUGGUUCUCUUGGUAACCCAAGGCAGUAUUCUAACUUGUAACAGAAUUGGCUAUGUACUUAUUUCAAUCCUACCUAAGAAAUAAACUUUGCAUAUUAUCUUUAUGAUUUAUUGAUUUUUUUACUUUUUAAAAUGUUCCCUGGUAUGCUCCGCUUUUACUUAACAAUUUGUUGUACAAUACUUAUAUACCUAAUUUCCUAUUUCAAAUUGCAGCUGAUAGCAACUUGGAGAUUUCUCUCGGCCGGCAACCUCCAUCAUUGGCUCCUCUUUGUCUCCUCCAUCCCACCUUCACGACAGCAAAAGAGGCAACCGGCAGAUGGCUCGAGGACGCUGGAUAGAUGUGGUCGUCCUCAGCACUGUGGUGGUCUGUUACAUAUCAGCAUUCUAGAAUUGAUAUUAGGAAAGGAGAUGCAAGGAAGGUCUUGAUUUUGCACAGAUUUUCCGUCUCAGGUACCCUGUACAACCACUUCAUUUUCUCAAAUCAGCUACAAGAUGUCCCUUGCAUGUACAAUCCUCUCUCCAUUAUGUGCAAACUAUUAUUGCUAUAUAGAUGAUUUAUUCGUUACAAAAUAUAUUUGUGCUAUGUUUGAGACAGGCAUCAGAUGACAAUAAGAUAUAAAAGUCCAUGUUCCUGACAUAGGUGCAUUCUUUCAGUAUAGAGUUCAGUAAACAGAUCAUAUGUUGUAGUACCUUCACAGUUUCACACCAUGUGGAUUACUGUCUGACCUCAUGAGAGUUCUGCUAUAAUUUUAACUUGUCACAUUGCGUAAGACAGGAGGAGAAGCACAAGCCGCUGCAGCAUCACUGGGCUGCGACCAUGAAAGAUGUGAUCUCCUGCUCUGUGGCUGCUGCACCGCGGAGAGAUGAGGUGAGCCGACCACAUAAGUAUCCUUAUUUGUGUAUUGACAAUGGUCAUUGUUGUCUUUUGGCUAAAAUAUUGAGAAUGGGCAAGCAUUUGUGAUGAUUUUUUUAUUGCCAGUUUGUUGGUCUUUUAUAAAUCUGCAACUUUAAAUAUGAUGAAUUUUGUGUUUUAUGGUUAUACUGGAAUAAGGUUGAUUCGGCACACUGUGUAUUAGUGAUUGCAACAUUCUCCUAUGAAAAUCUGCAUCCUGGUACCAAAAGGUUAUGAAGGAUGUACCAAAAUAUUUAUAUGCAUAAAUUUUAAUUUGAUUUGUCCUCAUUUUCAUGUAAUAGUUCAAAUGCAAUUUAGCUCAAAUCACUUCCCUCGCUGCUUUUUUCUUGCUUUGCCGCUUGUAGAAAAGCAACCUCAAAUGGAACUGACCCAAGAAACAUGUUGGAACUAUUGAUAAGACAAGUACUGUAAGUUGAAACUUUUUUAUGGAGUGAUAUUCAGUGGUUAUUUUGUAAGCACAUAGAUGCACUCUUACCUAUUACAUCAGUGAACAAAAUAUGUGACAAGGUAAGAACUUUCACUCAUGUAAGUGUAUGGAAAUUUAUUUUCCUACAAUUAUUUGUCUUAUCUUCUCCUAAUCUGAUCAUUCAUGAUGUAUAUAUUAUAUCCUUUCUUGUCUCGAGAAACAAGCAAUGUCCAUCUAUUGUAAUGGCCAGCCAAGAGACACAUGUAAGCUAACAGUUGACGUCGCUUUAUUCCCUAGAGGUCAAGCUAAACACCGAACUCGCUGCCGUUGUUGGGAAGCACAACAGAGGUUGCAGGCUGUUGCAGUGAUGCAUGCCAACUACCAGAGUUUGUCACCAAAAA